This 302-nucleotide long non-coding RNA is filed under the name Ananas comosus (pineapple). RNAcentral describes it as "long non-coding RNA (ACOM_LNC014874)". Lineage: Eukaryota; Viridiplantae; Streptophyta; Magnoliopsida; Poales; Bromeliaceae. The record is from RNAcentral.
UACCCUAUUUUUUUUUGGAGCGCCUCCCCACUCGCCCGACUUCUCUCGCGCCUCUCCCUCCCUUGCCCUCUCCGAUCCACAGCUUCCUCCCAUCCUCUGUCUCUCCUCAGCUGCAUCUCUCUCACCUCAGUCGCCGCCGAGGAUCUCGGCCACCGCCGCUGCCAUCUCGCGGGCUACCGCCGCCGCUGCACACAUCUCGCGCGCUGCUACCGCCGAAGUCACGAUCACCUCGGCCGCCGCCGCCGCACUAACCUCGGCCGCCAUUUUCUUGCCUCGAUCUUAUCUCGCCCCUCUCGCCCCUC